AUUGAACGCUGGCGGCAGGCUUAACACAUGCAAGUCGAGCGGGGAAAGGUAGCUUGCUACCUGACCUAGCGGCGGACGGGUGAGUAAUGCUUAGGAAUCUGCCUAUUAGUGGGGGACAACAUUCCGAAAGGAAUGCUAAUACCGCAUACGCCCUACGGGGGAAAGCAGGGGAUCUUCGGACCUUGCGCUAAUAGAUGAGCCUAAGUCAGAUUAGCUAGUUGGUGGGGUAAAGGCCUACCAAGGCGACGAUCUGUAGCGGGUCUGAGAGGAUGAUCCGCCGCACUGGGACUGAGACACGGCCCAGACUCCUACGGGAGGCAGCAGUGGGGAAUAUUGGACAAUGGGCGAAAGCCUGAUCCAGCCAUGCCGCGUGUGUGAAGAAGGCCUUUUGGUUGUAAAGCACUUUAAGCGAGGAGGAGGCUACCGAGAUUAAUACUCUUGGAUAGUGGACGUUACUCGCAGAAUAAGCACCGGCUAACUCUGUGCCAGCAGCCGCCGUAA
RNAcentral lists this ribosomal RNA (501 nucleotides) under uncultured bacterium. RNAcentral describes it as "partial 16S ribosomal RNA". It matches the Rfam family "Bacterial small subunit ribosomal RNA", at positions 30 to 523 of the family's 1533-position model. The record is from RNAcentral.